ACGGAGAUGGGCGAUGAGGCUCGCCCUUGAGCGCACGUUCCGUGCUGAUGGCCUCUGCGAGCAC
This 64-nucleotide non-coding RNA is filed under the name Streptomyces griseofuscus. RNAcentral describes it as "Fluoride sequence". It matches the Rfam family "Fluoride riboswitch aptamer (crcB RNA motif)". Lineage: Bacteria; Bacillati; Actinomycetota; Actinomycetes; Kitasatosporales; Streptomycetaceae. The record is from RNAcentral.